CCCCCGCCCCGCGACAGCGUGGGGCAGCGCUUGGCCGAUGGGCCCUGUGCUCCGGGGACCUGCUUUGGCGGGGGCGGGGGGAGGGGGCAGCGUUGGACAAACUGCGUGACGUUGGCUGAGUUCCUUUGCCUCUCUGAGACUGGUUUCCCAUAUGCAAACCAGGGCUAAUUACGGCACCCACCUCAUCCGGCUGCUGUGUGGAUUAAACCAGUUCAUGUAAGUAAAGGGCUUCGAGCUCAACAGUAAGUACCCGGUAAGUGUUAUUGUGGUUGCAGUGAAGGGCUGAGCCAGGGGUUCUAGAAACCCUCCAGCUCAGCACCUGCCCUCCAGCCGGAGCUGCUGCACCAUGUGCGUGCGUGUGUGUAUAUGUCUGUCUUGUGUGUGUGUGUGUGUGUGCUUAUCUAUCUGUGUGUGUAUCUGUGCAUGUGUGCGUCUGCAUGUGUGUCUGUAUCUGCGUGUGUCUGUGUGUGUGUGUGGGUGCACACGUGUGUGGGGCGGCUGUUGGAGUCUGUGCAGUGCUGCUGGGAGUGGCCUAGGAGGUGGCUCCGCCAGACCAAACAACCCCAGUGCUUCAAGCUCCAGGCUUUUCUCUGACUCUGUUUGCUUUCUUUCUCUCCUUUCCGGUUCCCCUUUAACUGGUUCCUGCUUCCAGUGAGCAGAGCCGGAGGGAGGCCCUGGCAGGGUAGGUACUGGGCCCUCCCCUCCCCCUCCGCAGGAGGUUUUCUAGACCCUGCUUCCCUGCCACAGCCCCACACAGGCCCCUUUCCUGUCUGAGCCUCAGUUUCCCGGUUCCCUCCUGUAGGAAGCCGCCCUACUCUCCUGCUGGCAAUGCCAACGGAGAGCACUGUUACCAACCCACCCACUGCCCGGGACUGGGGCCCAGGGUUCCUCCAGGAGGUGGUUUUGGGAGAUCUGAAACCAGCCCCCAGAGAGGAGUCUUCCUGAGGCUCCCUAAGCUUCUGACCACCUGGCCUUACUACCUAUAAGGGCUGUGACGCCACCGAGGGACCAGGAGGACUAUUUGAGAACAUUUGAGGGGCAAGGGACCCUGAGGCCAGCCAUGCCCAGGCCUCAGGCCUCCAGGGUUCCAUUCAGCCAGCAAGCUCCAGCUUUCCUUUGCCUGAAGUCGAUAUCGUCACCGGUAGACCUGCGUGUGACUCUACGGGGAACGUGCUAUCCCUCCACGUUCUGCCUCUAGCAAACCCAGGAAAGGGAAAUCAAGGUGAAAUGUAAGGAAGGGGGGGCGCCCAGGGCAUCACUGUGGCUGGGUUUAACUCGAAUCCUCUGCCUUCAUUGGAACCCACCGUUUAGCACAACAAGGGUUACGCAUGUAAGUGGACCCUGGUCGUAUGAAAAGUUCCAUCUGCUAAAUGGGAAUGUUUCUUUAGGAAGGGGUUGCUCCUUAAAGCCCAUUCCUCCCAACUAAGCAAUGCCAACGCCCACUGUCUGCUCAGGCAGACCUCUCUAUGACGAUGCCCAGAAAGCUGGCCAGUGCAGCAUAAAGCAGUCCUCUGUUUGCCCUUGGCCUUGGGUGUAGCCUCUAGCAGUUCCGUAGGACGCACAAGGCCGCUGAAGGCCAAUUGAAAUGUGAUAAGUUCUGUAAGCAGGGACUGUGCCCCUGACCCUGGCCAGCUGCUUCUCCAGGAUUUGAAACAGCUGGUCUAGGCCGCAAGGGAACCUGGUCCCAAGGACGGUGGCUAACUCCAUGUGGCCCACCCCUGCUCCAAGAAGCCCAAGCCCAAAACUCUCAAGGUCCUCCCCACACCCUGGAAAGCACGCCUCUAGAGGAACAAGAACCUUCUAGAGGUAGAAGGAUGUUGCUCCCUCCUCGGACAGAGCUAGAUAAUUACUGCAGCCUCGCUAAGAACAAUGCCUCCAGAGCCUGGUGUGGACACUGAAGCCUUAGGAGGGCAAGGAGCCUACCCUGGGCUCCUUCCUCUUCACCUGCUGCCUCCCCAAGAAGGGGUCUUGAUUUGCCCCCCCACCCUCCCACCCAAGGAGGCUGCUCACAUCCUUGGCCAAUGUGUGGUGCCCUCUGCCUGUUGCAGGAUGAGACAAGCAACACAGUCUCAGAAGCCCCACCCCUGCAUCCUCCCGGUGCGCCCCUCCCAGGGGGUGGUCCUGGGUUGGCACAUUAAACACAGCCAAGUAGCCAGGGAGCCGAGGCUGAAUGGCAGGAAAGGCUGAAGCCAGGGUGGCCCCUCGCCUACCUGCCCAACCCAGCGAUUCAAAGCAAGGCUGAGGCCGGAUAAAGCACUUGAAAAUGUCAGUCAGGGAACAAUCUCUUUCCCAAACUCCCUGCCUUUGACCUUGGGCACCCAGCCCUGACCUUGGGAUGGGCUGAUCUUUUUCUCAGCUCUGCCGACUCCAUCCCCAGUCCCUUCACACACACACACACACGCAUGCACGCACGCACAAGCACGCACUGUGACAACUGGACUUUUUGCUGUAAUCACAGAAUUACAGAACUGCUCAUUUGCGGGGGCCAAAAAAUGGUUUAUAAGCAGACCACACUGGGUCCCAGACAGCCGGAACCAACAUUCUUCUGAGCAUUUAAAAUGGUAAAAGCGUCAAGAAAGCCUGUGGCCAAAAUGGACAGGACCCCAGGGACCAUCUGGCAGUCCCCAGCCUUCAUUCAUUUGAGCAGUUUGUAACUUUCAUCUAAUGUAUCUUUAUGUAUUUUUCCCUAAUGUCGGUGAAAAUAACACACAAGCCUCGUCAAAAUGAA
Long non-coding RNA from Felis catus (domestic cat), 2728 nucleotides. RefSeq lists it as uncharacterized. The transcript has 2 exons. The record is from RefSeq and is a predicted model, not a curated record. Lineage: Eukaryota; Metazoa; Chordata; Mammalia; Carnivora; Felidae.